This 28-nucleotide small RNA is filed under the name Bombyx mori (domestic silkworm). RNAcentral describes it as "ovarian small RNA-10318". The record is from RNAcentral. Lineage: Eukaryota; Metazoa; Arthropoda; Insecta; Lepidoptera; Bombycidae.
AACCGAGUUAUGUGCCACCUAGUGACGC